UACGGAGGGGGCUAGCGUUGUUCGGAAUUACUGGGCGUAAAGCGCACGUAGGCGGCUUUGUAAGUUAGAGGUGAAAGCCCGGGGCUCAACCCCGGAAUUGCCUUUAAGACUGCAUCGCUAGAAUUGUGGAGAGGUGAGUGCAAUUCCGAGUGUAGAGGUGAAAUUCGUAGAUAUUCGGAAGAACACCAGUGGCGAAGGCGACUCACUGGACACAUAUUGACGCUGAGGUGCGAAAGCGUGGGGAGCAAACAGG
This 253-nucleotide ribosomal RNA is filed under the name uncultured bacterium. RNAcentral's name for it is "partial 16S ribosomal RNA". It matches the Rfam family "Bacterial small subunit ribosomal RNA", at positions 524 to 776 of the family's 1533-position model. The record is from RNAcentral.